Molecule: long non-coding RNA, 258 nt
Organism: Exaiptasia diaphana
Lineage: Eukaryota; Metazoa; Cnidaria; Anthozoa; Actiniaria; Aiptasiidae
Exons: 3
Source: RefSeq, a predicted model, not a curated record
GUAUAUGUAUAUCACUAAAUGAGUAUUGGAAAUCUUGCAACGAUAAAAUGAAAUAAAACUGGAAAAUGGCGGGCAACAAAGUUCGAGUUUUGUAUGAUUUCGACGGCGAUAUCAACUCGGGAGAGUUGAUAGUCUCAACCGAUGAAAUUUUGACUGUGACACGAACGGAUGUAGGAGAUGGAUGGUGGGAAGGAAUGAAUCAUAACGGCAUGAGAGGGCUGUUUCCUGAAGCAUAUGUCGAGGUGAGAAAAUCUCAUA